This 89-nucleotide small nucleolar RNA is filed under the name Cyprinodon variegatus (sheepshead minnow). RNAcentral describes it as "Small nucleolar SNORD12/SNORD106 (ENSCVAG00000009855.1)". It matches the Rfam family "Small nucleolar SNORD12/SNORD106". Rfam says of the family: This family belong to the C/D class of snoRNA which contain the C (UGAUGA) and D (CUGA) box motifs. This family includes the human ortholog of mouse snoRNA HBII-99 and human snoRNA U106. In humans both HB11-99 and U106 snoRNAs share the same host gene. The record is from Rfam by way of RNAcentral. Lineage: Eukaryota; Metazoa; Chordata; Actinopteri; Cyprinodontiformes; Cyprinodontidae.
AAUGUGGUUAAUGAUGCUGAACUUUUUUCCCCAUCAUAUCGACCGUGGUGAUGCUCUGAAACUAAGCCAGUUUUGUCUGAAACCACAUU